UUUUCUUCGCCGGCACAGCUCUGUGACAAUGGAAUCAUAGCUGGCUGGCGAAGAAAUGC
Molecule: microRNA precursor, 59 nt
Filed under: Branchiostoma lanceolatum (amphioxus)
Lineage: Eukaryota; Metazoa; Chordata; Leptocardii; Amphioxiformes; Branchiostomatidae
Description: Bla-Mir-22-o3a2b_pre stem-loop
Rfam family: mir-4900 microRNA precursor family
Source: RNAcentral